This 253-nucleotide ribosomal RNA is filed under the name uncultured bacterium. RNAcentral's name for it is "partial 16S ribosomal RNA". It matches the Rfam family "Bacterial small subunit ribosomal RNA", at positions 524 to 776 of the family's 1533-position model. The record is from RNAcentral.
GACAGAGGGGGCAAGCGUUGCUCGGAAUUACUGGGCGUAAAGCGUGCGUAGGCGGUUCGUUAAGUCCGUUGUGAAAGCCCUGGGCUCAACCUGGGAAUGGCAGUGGAUACUGGCGAGCUAGAGUGUGAUAGAGGAUGGUGGAAUUCCCGGUGUAGCGGUGAAAUGCGUAGAGAUCGGGAGGAACACCAGUGGCGAAGGCGGCCAUCUGGAUCAACACUGACGCUGAGGCACGAAAGCGUGGGGAGCAAACAGG